AAAAAAGGAAAUAUUUUAGUUAAUAUUUCUCCGCCUUCUUCUUUUCUCUUUAAUUCUAUACUCUAUUUUUCUCUUCUCUCAAUCUCCGUAAAUCCAAACAAAGGGUCAGAGAUUUGCAUGAAUUCGGUGAGAUUUGGGUGGAUGAGGAUUAUCAAUUGGGUGAGAAGCAACUUGCGCAGAAGGGUGGGUUGCAGUUUCCUGUCGAGAGGAUCCCCAGAUUUCUUAAGGCGGGAAAGUAUGCCGAGCAUUUUGGUGCUGGAGCUCCUAUAUAUCUCUCUGCUGUCCUCGAUACCUUGCUGCUGAGGUGUUGGAGCUUGGGCAUCUGGCUGAAAGCGGGUCCGGUGUCAAGCAUCAGCUUUAAAAGUGAGCUGCAGAUAUUGAAUAUCAAUUGGUUUCAAAACCAGUCGCAUGGAAAUGUUGAGGAACGCUUGCCACUGGAGGAAGUUUUUGGGCAACUAAGAACUAAGAACUGACUUUCAACUGAAGAUGCUGAAGUUCGAUUGAAGAUUUUUGGCCUGAACAAACUUGAAGAGAAGCUAGAGAACAAGUUUUUGAAGUUCCUCAGUUUUACGUGCAAUUCCUUAUCAUGGACAGCCAUGGAGAACUAACUGCUAUAGACUUCUGGUUGUUGUCUCAACCCUAAGAUCAGGUCCAGUGUAGGAAUUUAAUGGUGGAAACUGGAGAGGCUGUGUUUUGCAUCUGAGAAUAAAUUUAGUAAUCCCUGGGAUUCAACUAGAUUGUGGAAGUUAAAUUUAUUCUUUUGUUGCAGGUUCUGUGUUUUUUCUGUCAUUGAAUUAGCAGUUUUGCUGGGUUAUUUUUGUGGAGCCAAUAUGAGUUCCACUGGUCCUUCCAUGGGUUCUGAUUAGUUUAUUUCCUCUUGCAUCAUUUUCCAUUACUUAAUAAAAGAAGCUUCUUGGUUUGUA
Molecule: long non-coding RNA, 923 nt
Organism: Hevea brasiliensis (rubber tree)
Lineage: Eukaryota; Viridiplantae; Streptophyta; Magnoliopsida; Malpighiales; Euphorbiaceae
Exons: 4
Source: RefSeq, a predicted model, not a curated record